AUCGGUAGGAGAAGAAAGUAGUGCAGAAAAAAUUACAAGUUCCUUAACUUGCAGACUUGCAUAAAAAAAAUUGUGCAGAUGUACUAAACUGAGCCUCACACUUGUUGAUAAGGAGUAUCUUUCCUACCAAAAAAGUUUGGCAAAUAGGUUGCCGCAGACAGACGCAUUUUGCCGGAAAACGAAUCUGACAUGCCACCUCGAGAUUUUGACCAAGGAAAGACAAGUUGAUGUGCUUUGAUUUGAGGGGUCACUCACUGCUGAACGAAAAUUAGGGACAUCGCUAUGAGAAGAAACGUUAACAUUGUCGCCUAUGGGAAAACAAUUAGUGGACUGUACCCAUAUUGGGAAGCCUAUAAGGUCAUGGUCAUUGGUACAGGAAAACCAUGAGGUUCAUGCAGGUGGUGUUUAAAACUAUUGGCCAGCAAACACACACCCAUUUGAAAACAUCUUGAAAUUUCACGGUCACCAGCAAAAAGUGGCAGUUGGCAAAAUGUAGGUUGCCGCAGACAGACGCAUUUUGCCGGAAAACGAAUCUGACAUGCCACCUCGAGAUUUUGACCAAGGAAAGACAAGUUGAUGUGCUUUGAUUUGAGGGGUCACUCACUGCUGAACGAAAAUUAGGGACAUCGCUAUGAGAAGAAACGUUAACAUUGUCGCCUAUGGGAAAACAAUUAGUGGACUGUACCCAUAUUGGGAAGCCUAUAAGGUCAUGGUCAUUGGUACAGGAAAACCAUGAGGUUCAUGCAGGUGGUGUUUAAAACUAUUGGCCAGCAAACACACACCCAUUUGAAAACAUCUUGAAAUUUCACGGUCACCAGCAAAAAGUGGCAGUUGGCAAAAUGUAGGUUGCCGCAGACAGACGCAUUUUGCCGGAAAACGAAUCUGACAUGCCACCUCGAGAUUUUGACCAAGGAAAGACAAGUUGAUGUGCUUUGAUUUGAGGGGUCACUCACUGCUGAACGAAAAUUAGGGACAUCGCUAUGAGAAGAAACGUUAACAUUGUCGCCUAUGGGAAAACAAUUAGUGGACUGUACCCAUAUUGGGAAGCCUAUAAGGUCAUGGUCAUUGGUACAGGAAAACCAUGAGGUUCAUGCAGGUGGUGUUUAAAACUAUUGGCCAGCAAACACACACCCAUUUGAAAACAUCUUGAAAUUUCACGGUCACCAGCAAAAAGUGGCAGUUGGCAAAAUGUAGGUUGCCGCAGACAGACGCAUUUUGCCGGAAAACGAAUCUGACAUGCCACCUCGAGAUUUUGACCAAGGAAAGACAAGUUGAUGUGCUUUGAUUUGAGGGGUCACUCACUGCUGAACGAAAAUUAGGGACAUCGCUAUGAGAAGAAACGUUAACAUUGUCGCCUAUGGGAAAACAAUUAGUGGACUGUACCCAUAUUGGGAAGCCUAUAAGGUCAUGGUCAUUGGUACAGGAAAACCAUGAGGUUCAUGCAGGUGGUGUUUAAAACUAUUGGCCAGCAAACACACACCCAUUUGAAAACAUCUUGAAAUUUCACGGUCACCAGCAAAAAGUGGCAGUUGGCAAAAUGUAGGUUGCCGCAGACAGACGCAUUUUGCCGGAAAACGAAUCUGACAUGCCACCUCGAGAUUUUGACCAAGGAAAGACAAGUUGAUGUGCUUUGAUUUGAGGGGUCACUCACUGCUGAACGAAAAUUAGGGACAUCGCUAUGAGAAGAAACGUUAACAUUGUCGCCUAUGGGAAAACAAUUAGUGGACUGUACCCAUAUUGGGAAGCCUAUAAGGUCAUGGUCAUUGGUACAGGAAAACCAUGAGGUUCAUGCAGGUGGUGUUUAAAACUAUUGGCCAGCAAACACACACCCAUUUGAAAACAUCUUGAAAUUUCACGGUCACCAGCAAAAAGUGGCAGUUGGCAAAAUGUAGGUUGCCGCAGACAGACGCAUUUUGCCGGAAAACGAAUCUGACAUGCCACCUCGAGAUUUUGACCAAGGAAAGACAAGUUGAUGUGCUUUGAUUUGAGGGGUCACUCACUGCUGAACGAAAAUUAGGGACAUCGCUAUGAGAAGAAACGUUAACAUUGUCGCCUAUGGGAAAACAAUUAGUGGACUGUACCCAUAUUGGGAAGCCUAUAAGGUCAUGGUCAUUGGUACAGGAAAACCAUGAGGUUCAUGCAGGUGGUGUUUAAAACUAUUGGCCAGCAAACACACACCCAUUUGAAAACAUCUUGAAAUUUCACGGUCACCAGCAAAAAGUGGCAGUUGGCAAAAUGUAGGUUGCCGCAGACAGACGCAUUUUGCCGGAAAACGAAUCUGACAUGCCACCUCGAGAUUUUGACCAAGGAAAGACAAGUUGAUGUGCUUUGAUUUGAGGGGUCACUCACUGCUGAACGAAAAUUAGGGACAUCGCUAUGAGAAGAAACGUUAACAUUGUCGCCUAUGGGAAAACAAUUAGUGGACUGUACCCAUAUUGGGAAGCCUAUAAGGUCAUGGUCAUUGGUACAGGAAAACCAUGAGGUUCAUGCAGGUGGUGUUUAAAACUAUUGGCCAGCAAACACACACCCAUUUGAAAACAUCUUGAAAUUUCACGGUCACCAGCAAAAAGUGGCAGUUGGCAAAAUGUAGGUUGCCGCAGACAGACGCAUUUUGCCGGAAAACGAAUCUGACAUGCCACCUCGAGAUUUUGACCAAGGAAAGACAAGUUGAUGUGCUUUGAUUUGAGGGGUCACUCACUGCUGAACGAAAAUUAGGGACAUCGCUAUGAGAAGAAACGUUAACAUUGUCGCCUAUGGGAAAACAAUUAGUGGACUGUACCCAUAUUGGGAAGCCUAUAAGGUCAUGGUCAUUGGUACAGGAAAACCAUGAGGUUCAUGCAGGUGGUGUUUAAAACUAUUGGCCAGCAAACACACACCCAUUUGAAAACAUCUUGAAAUUUCACGGUCACCAGCAAAAAGUGGCAGUUGGCAAAAUGUAGGUUGCCGCAGACAGACGCAUUUUGCCGGAAAACGAAUCUGACAUGCCACCUCGAGAUUUUGACCAAGGAAAGACAAGUUGAUGUGCUUUGAUUUGAGGGGUCACUCACUGCUGAACGAAAAUUAGGGACAUCGCUAUGAGAAGAAACGUUAACAUUGUCGCCUAUGGGAAAACAAUUAGUGGACUGUACCCAUAUUGGGAAGCCUAUAAGGUCAUGGUCAUUGGUACAGGAAAACCAUGAGGUUCAUGCAGGUGGUGUUUAAAACUAUUGGCCAGCAAACACACACCCAUUUGAAAACAUCUUGAAAUUUCACGGUCACCAGCAAAAAGUGGCAGUUGGCAAAAUGUAGGUUGCCGCAGACAGACGCAUUUUGCCGGAAAACGAAUCUGACAUGCCACCUCGAGAUUUUGACCAAGGAAAGACAAGUUGAUGUGCUUUGAUUUGAGGGGUCACUCACUGCUGAACGAAAAUUAGGGACAUCGCUAUGAGAAGAAACGUUAACAUUGUCGCCUAUGGGAAAACAAUUAGUGGACUGUACCCAUAUUGGGAAGCCUAUAAGGUCAUGGUCAUUGGUACAGGAAAACCAUGAGGUUCAUGCAGGUGGUGUUUAAAACUAUUGGCCAGCAAACACACACCCAUUUGAAAACAUCUUGAAAUUUCACGGUCACCAGCAAAAAGUGGCAGUUGGCAAAAUGUAGGUUGCCGCAGACAGACGCAUUUUGCCGGAAAACGAAUCUGACAUGCCACCUCGAGAUUUUGACCAAGGAAAGACAAGUUGAUGUGCUUUGAUUUGAGGGGUCACUCACUGCUGAACGAAAAUUAGGGACAUCGCUAUGAGAAGAAACGUUAACAUUGUCGCCUAUGGGAAAACAAUUAGUGGACUGUACCCAUAUUGGGAAGCCUAUAAGGUCAUGGUCAUUGGUACAGGAAAACCAUGAGGUUCAUGCAGGUGGUGUUUAAAACUAUUGGCCAGCAAACACACACCCAUUUGAAAACAUCUUGAAAUUUCACGGUCACCAGCAAAAAGUGGCAGUUGGCAAAAUGUAGGUUGCCGCAGACAGACGCAUUUUGCCGGAAAACGAAUCUGACAUGCCACCUCGAGAUUUUGACCAAGGAAAGACAAGUUGAUGUGCUUUGAUUUGAGGGGUCACUCACUGCUGAACGAAAAUUAGGGACAUCGCUAUGAGAAGAAACGUUAACAUUGUCGCCUAUGGGAAAACAAUUAGUGGACUGUACCCAUAUUGGGAAGCCUAUAA
Molecule: long non-coding RNA, 4195 nt
Organism: Saccostrea cuccullata (small rock oyster)
Lineage: Eukaryota; Metazoa; Mollusca; Bivalvia; Ostreida; Ostreidae
Exons: 24
Source: RefSeq, a predicted model, not a curated record